GAAAAAAGAUUGAAGAAGGGUUUUGGUAGCAAAGGGAGUAAUUAAGGCACCAAUAUAGAUGAAUGGAGAUGAAUGAUGAAAAUCUCCAUUCCUAUUGGUCAAAAAUCAUGACCAAUAGGCUUUGAAGAGGCUGCCCGAGGCCAUAUUAGAGAUUAGGAUUAGUUUUUUGGAUGGAUUCGAGCUUUGAAGGCUAGGGUCAACAAGUUUAGAUUUUUAGCUAUGAUUUUGGUGCAAAUUUUGUAUGGUUUGGAGUUUAUAUGAAGGAGAUACAAGCGCUCAAAGUUAGGAUGUUGAUUUGGAAGCUAUCGUCACUUUUUUUCUAGCAUAAUGUACACGUACAGAAAGAAUUGAGGAUUGGUGACCGCGACUAGAAAGAACACUUUUGCGGCUACACUUUUUGCAUAUUGCUUGCUAGAUUCCAAGUUUGGAUGAAGGAGUUACUGGAUUUUGAAGUCAGUGCAUGCAAUCUAAGGGUAGUAAGUAACCUGAUUUACUAGUGGUUGUGACUUGAGCUAUAUCUUGAGCAAUUUGAUAAGGUUUUGGCU
RNAcentral lists this long non-coding RNA (545 nucleotides) under Physcomitrium patens. RNAcentral's name for it is "long non-coding RNA (PPAT_LNC006301)". The record is from RNAcentral. Lineage: Eukaryota; Viridiplantae; Streptophyta; Bryopsida; Funariales; Funariaceae.